Molecule: non-coding RNA, 120 nt
Organism: Violaceomyces palustris
Lineage: Eukaryota; Fungi; Basidiomycota; Ustilaginomycetes; Violaceomycetales; Violaceomycetaceae
Source: the annotation of a GenBank genome assembly
GGCAAGUUGGCCGAGUGGUCUAAGGCGCAGUGUUAAGGAUUUCCUUAAGCGAUUAGGGUUCUUUCCGAAACCGAGUUUCCCCGCUGUCUUCGGGCGUGGGUUCGAAUCCCACACUUGUCA